RNAcentral lists this ribosomal RNA (2917 nucleotides) under Clostridioides difficile P68. RNAcentral's name for it is "partial 23S ribosomal RNA". The stretch from base 1318 to 2819 matches the Rfam family "Bacterial small subunit ribosomal RNA". Lineage: Bacteria; Bacillati; Bacillota; Clostridia; Peptostreptococcales; Peptostreptococcaceae. The record is from RNAcentral.
UGAAAAUAAGAAUAUCAUCUACUAUAAGUUAUGACAGCAUAGUUGAUGGACCAGGAUUAAGAAUGGUAAUAUGGACUCAAGGAUGUAUUCAUAAUUGUAAAGAGUGCCAUAAUCCUCAGACACAUGAUUUAUGUGGAGGAUUUUAUAUGGAUACAGAAGAAAUUAUAAAUAAAGUCAAAUCAUUGAAAUUACAAAAAGGCAUUACGCUAUCAGGAGGAGAACCAUUUUUACAACCAGAACCAUUAGAAGAAAUAGCAAGAGAAGCUAAAAUAAAUGGGUUAGAUGUAUGGUCAUAUACUGGAUUUACGUUUGAACAACUGUUAGAUAAAAAAAAUAGAGCGUAUUUUAAAAAUUUAAAUUUACUAAAGCAAAUUGAUAUUUUAGUGGAUGGAAAAUUUAUAACUGAAAAAAAAGAUAUAAGCUUAAAGUUUAGAGGGUCAUCAAAUCAAAGGAUAAUUGAUGUUCAAAAAAGUUUGAAAUAUAAAAAAGUGUUUUUGGUUGAGCAAUAUAUGAAGGAUGAUUUAUCUAUAGCAGAAUAAAAUAUAAAUAAACAGGAUUAAAUAUAUGCAUAUAUUUAAUCCUGUUUAUUUUCAUAUAAUAUUUCAAGCUUGUAUAAUGUAACAAUUAAACCAAAAGACUCAUUGUAUAUUUGAAAUUAAGUUUUUUAUAGUUUAUAGGUGUUUUAUGUGGAUUACGAAUGAUAUAGUAUUGAUACAUUAUUUAAUAGAUUCUUAUGUCAAGAAACAAUUAAUUUAUAGAAAUUCUUAAUUGUUACAAUAUAAAUAUCUAGAUAAGUUAUAAGAUACUGAUAAAUAAUUUAUAAAGUUUAUUAAUCUAAUAUUGUGUGUGAAUAUUAAGUAGUCAAGUAGUCUAAAAAAUGAAAAAGAUUUAAAAAAGUGCUUUAACUAAACACAUAAGUGUUAAAUUCAUGUAUAAGUAUAGGUUAGAUACAUAAGAAAUAAUUAUGCAAUAUCUAUCUUUGUAAAAAAAUAUUAAAUUUUGUAAUUUGUGGAUAAAUAUGUUUAUAAUGUGGAUAAUAUUUAAUGUAAUAAGUUAAAGCAAUAUGAAUCAACUGUUUAUAAUGUGGAUAAUAUUAUAAAUGUAUGAAUAAUUGCAGUAUUUAAAAACAAAAAAAGUUAAAAAAGUUGUUGACUCUAAAAGAAAAAGUUGGUAUAGUAAUACUUGUCCUCAAGAAAAGGGCAAACAAAUAAAGCAUAAAGAACUUUGAAAAUUAAACAGUAGGUUAAUUUAUAAAACAAGAAACAAACCAUAAAGCCAGAUAUUUUGAUAACAAUAGUAUCUGAGCCUGAUAAACUUUUAUUUGAGAGUUUGAUCCUGGCUCAGGAUGAACGCUGGCGGCGUGCCUAACACAUGCAAGUUGAGCGAUUUACUUCGGUAAAGAGCGGCGGACGGGUGAGUAACGCGUGGGUAACCUACCCUGUACACACGGAUAACAUACCGAAAGGUAUGCUAAUACGGGAUAAUAUAUUUGAGAGGCAUCUCUUAAAUAUCAAAGGUGAGCCAGUACAGGAUGGACCCGCGUCUGAUUAGCUAGUUGGUAAGGUAACGGCUUACCAAGGCGACGAUCAGUAGCCGACCUGAGAGGGUGAUCGGCCACAUUGGAACUGAGACACGGUCCAAACUCCUACGGGAGGCAGCAGUGGGGAAUAUUGCACAAUGGGCGAAAGCCUGAUGCAGCAACGCCGCGUGAGUGAUGAAGGCCUUCGGGUCGUAAAACUCUGUCCUCAAGGAAGAUAAUGACGGUACUUGAGGAGGAAGCCCCGGCUAACUACGUGCCAGCAGCCGCGGUAAUACGUAGGGGGCUAGCGUUAUCCGGAUUUACUGGGCGUAAAGGGUGCGUAGGCGGUCUUUCAAGUCAGGAGUGAAAGGCUACGGCUCAACCGUAGUAAGCUCUUGAAACUGGGAGACUUGAGUGCAGGAGAGGAGAGUGGAAUUCCUAGUGUAGCGGUGAAAUGCGUAGAUAUUAGGAGGAACACCAGUUGCGAAGGCGGCUCUCUGGACUGUAACUGACGCUGAGGCACGAAAGCGUGGGGAGCAAACAGGAUUAGAUACCCUGGUAGUCCACGCUGUAAACGAUGAGUACUAGGUGUCGGGGGUUACCCCCUCGGUGCCGCAGCUAACGCAUUAAGUACUCCGCCUGGGAAGUACGCUCGCAAGAGUGAAACUCAAAGGAAUUGACGGGGACCCGCACAAGUAGCGGAGCAUGUGGUUUAAUUCGAAGCAACGCGAAGAACCUUACCUAAGCUUGACAUCCCAAUGACAUCUCCUUAAUCGGAGAGUUCCCUUCGGGGACAUUGGUGACAGGUGGUGCAUGGUUGUCGUCAGCUCGUGUCGUGAGAUGUUGGGUUAAGUCCCGCAACGAGCGCAACCCUUGUCUUUAGUUGCCAUCAUUAAGUUGGGCACUCUAGAGAGACUGCCAGGGAUAACCUGGAGGAAGGUGGGGAUGACGUCAAAUCAUCAUGCCCCUUAUGCUUAGGGCUACACACGUGCUACAAUGGGUAGUACAGAGGGUUGCCAAGCCGUAAGGUGGAGCUAAUCCCUUAAAGCUACUCUCAGUUCGGAUUGUAGGCUGAAACUCGCCUACAUGAAGCUGGAGUUACUAGUAAUCGCAGAUCAGAAUGCUGCGGUGAAUGCGUUCCCGGGUCUUGUACACACCGCCCGUCACACCACGGGAGUUGGAGACGCCCGAAGCCGAUUAUCUAACCUUUUGGAAGAAGUCGUCGAAGGUGGAAUCAAUAACUGGGGUGAAGUCGUAACAAGGUAGCCGUAUCGGAAGGUGCGGCUGGAUCACCUCCUUUCUAAGGAGAAUUACCUACUGUUUAAUUUUGAGGGUUCGUUUUUACGAAUACUCAAAAUUAGCACUUUAAGCAACAGAAUAAACUGAACGCAUGUGAAG